This 497-nucleotide ribosomal RNA is filed under the name uncultured bacterium. RNAcentral's name for it is "partial 16S ribosomal RNA". It matches the Rfam family "Bacterial small subunit ribosomal RNA", at positions 28 to 507 of the family's 1533-position model. The record is from RNAcentral.
GAUGAACGCUGGCGGCGUGCCUAAUACAUGCAAGUCGAGCGAACAGAUGAGGAGCUUGCUCCUCUGACGUUAGCGGCGGACGGGUGAGUAACACGUGGAUAACCUACCUAUAAGACUGGGAUAACUUCGGGAAACCGGAGCUAAUACCGGAUAAUAUAUUGAACCGCAUGGUUCAAUAGUGAAAGACGGUUUUGCUGUCACUUAUAGAUGGAUCCGCGCCGCAUUAGCUAGUUGGUAAGGUAACGGCUUACCAAGGCAACGAUACGUAGCCGACCAGAGAGGGUGAUCGGCCACACUGGAACUGAGACACGGUCCAGACUCCUACGGGAGGCAGCAGUAGGGAAUCUUCCGCAAUGGGCGAAAGCCUGACGGAGCAACGCCGCGUGAGUGAUGAAGGUCUUCGGAUCGUAAAACUCUGUUAUUAGGGAAGAACAAAUGUGUAAGUAACUAUGCACGUCUUGACGGUACCUAAUCAGAAAGCCACGGCUAACUACGUG